AUUGAACGCUGGCGGCAGGCCUAACACAUGCAAGUCGAGCGAGCGGCGGACGGGUGAGUAAUGUCUGGGAAACUGCCUGAUGGAGGGGGAUAACUACUGGAAACGGUAGCUAAUACCGCAUACCAUCAGAUGUGCCCAGAUGGGAUUAGCUAGUAGGUGGGGUAACGGCUCACCUAGGCGACGAUCCCUAGCUGGUCUGAGAGGAUGACCAGCCACACUGGGACUGAGACACGGCCCAGACUCCUACGGGAGGCAGCAGUGGGGAAUGUUGGACAAUGGGCGCAAGCCUGAUGCAGCCAUGCCGCGUGUGUGAAGAAGGCCUUCGGGUUGUAAAGCACUUUCGGCGGAGAGGCGGUACCCGCAGAAGAAGCACCGGCUAACUCCGUGCCAGCAGCCGCGGUAAUUC
This 406-nucleotide ribosomal RNA is filed under the name uncultured bacterium. RNAcentral describes it as "partial 16S ribosomal RNA". It matches the Rfam family "Bacterial small subunit ribosomal RNA", at positions 29 to 526 of the family's 1533-position model. The record is from RNAcentral.